UUUCCGUAGGUGAACCUGCGGAAGGAUCAUUCAUAAUAAAGUGUUUUAUGGCACUUUUUAAAAAUCCAUAUCCACCUUGUGUGCAAUGUUAGAUCUCGUCAAUCUUGGCGAGAUUUUUAUACAUCAACUCAUUCUUUAACUAAUUUGUCUGAAAAAUAUUAUGAAUGCUUAAUUCAAAAUACAACUUUCAACAACGGAUCUCUUGGCUCUC
This 211-nucleotide unclassified non-coding RNA is filed under the name plant metagenome. RNAcentral's name for it is "partial contains small subunit ribosomal RNA, internal transcribed spacer 1, and 5.8S ribosomal RNA". The record is from RNAcentral.